RNAcentral lists this ribosomal RNA (1740 nucleotides) under Triticum aestivum (bread wheat). RNAcentral's name for it is "partial small subunit ribosomal RNA". Lineage: Eukaryota; Viridiplantae; Streptophyta; Magnoliopsida; Poales; Poaceae. The record is from RNAcentral.
AUGAGAGGCAUGUUUUGGAAUAGCAGAGGUCUCUCAGACUUGGCUAAACAUAAGCACGUCAGUGAUUGUGUGCGAGAACACGAAUUGGAUUUUGUGGCAAUUUCCGAGGCUGGUAAAUGUGACUUCCGCCCGCACGUCCUCGAUCACCUAUCUGGUGGUUUCGACUACACAUGGCAUAGUCUACCAGCUCGUGGAUGGUCCGGAGGAAUCCUUCUUGGGAUACAGACCACGACAAUGGACUUGUUGGCCUUUUUGACCAGUGAAUUUCAUAUCAAAUUUUACCUACGAAACAGGGCUGAUAAUUUUACAUGGAGCCUGGUCGCAGUCUAUGGGGCUGCCCAAGAUGAGCAUAAAUCCGCUUUCCUUCGUGAACUGGUGAAUCUGGCUAAGGAUAACCCGUACCCAAUGCUUAUUGGAGGGGAUUUCAAUAUCCUUAGGUACCAGGAGGAAAAAAAUAAUGACCGCUUCGACGCUCACUGGCCUUUCCUAUUCAAUGUUGUGAUUGAUAGUUUGGACCUUCGGGAGGCUUGUAUGUCAGGGCGGCAGUUCAGUUGGGCUAAUAACCGUUCUGUGCCAACGUACGAGAAGCUCGAUAGGGUACUCAUGGAUACCGAAUGGGAGCUAAAAUUUCCUAUGGUAACCGUACGAGCCCUAGAGAGAAUCGAGGCAUUAUCGGAUCAUGCACCAAUCAUUCUUGAUUCUAAUUCUAUGAGCCAUUCUUCCCGCCACCCUUUAAAAUUUGAAUUGGCAUGGCUGCACCGGGAAGGUUUUGUAGAAAUAAUCAAGAAAGUUUGGGAGAGGCCAGCCAUUGGUCGUACACCGAUUCAGAGAUGGAAUAAUAAAAUAAGGGCCAUGAGGCAACACCUCUCUGGAUGGGCGAAACACAUCAAUGGGCUAUAUAAAAAAGAAAAGCAGCGCCUUUGUACCAUCAUUGAUGACCUCGACAAAAUUGCAGAGACCCGCACCUUAUCUCAACAUGAGAUUGAAUUGAAAAAUCAAUCUAAUGAGAAGGUUGCCCGUCUUCUGCGAGAAGAGGAGAUCAAAUACUACCAGAGGUCCAAAGUUGACUUCAUCCUAAUGGGAGAUAGUAAUACAAGAUACUUCCAAUUGCUCGCCAAUGGUCGACAUAGGAAGAAAUGUAUUCAUAGUCUCCAACAGGACGAGGGGCGGAUCGAAGGUCAAAGGGAGCUCAAAAACUAUAUCACCAACUACUACAAAUCUCUGUUCGGAGCGUCGAAUGAAGGAAAUGUCACCCUUGACGAGACCCGAACAGAUGAUAUUCCACAAGUCACGGCAGAAGAGAAUGAUAUCCUCACGACACCUUUCUCAGAGGAGGAGGUGAGAGCGGCGGUGUUCCAAAUGGAACACAACAAAGAUCUAGGCCCUGAUGGUUUCCCCGCAGAAUUCUAUCAGAAUUUCUGGGAUAUCAUCAAGGCUGACCUUUUGGAGUUGUUCAAUUGUCUUCAUGCCAAUCGACUUGAUCUAUUCAGAAUAAAUUUUGGCGAGAUUGUCUUGUUGCCGAAGAUUAAGGAGGCUGAACGGAUUCAGCAGUUCAGACCCAUAUGUCUCCUUAAUGUUAGCUUCAAGAUUUUCACAAAAGUGGCUACGAAUAGGUUAAACUUGAUAGCUGACCGUGUUGUCCGUCCAUCUCAAACGACCUUUAUGCAAGGACGAAAUAUACUAGAUGGUGUAGUAAUCCUGCAUGAGACCGUCCACGGGAUGCACCGAAAAAAUAUGAGU